GUCACUUUGGCGGAGUGGUUAACGCGCUGCCCUGCUAAUGCCUGCAUUAGCUGCCUAGGCAGUUCCUUCGGGAGCGUAGGUUCGAAUCCUACAGGUGACG
This is a transfer RNA of Madurella mycetomatis, 100 nucleotides long. It matches the Rfam family "tRNA". From Rfam's summary of the family: Transfer RNA (tRNA) molecules are approximately 80 nucleotides in length. Their secondary structure includes four short double-helical elements and three loops (D, anti-codon, and T loops). Further hydrogen bonds mediate the characteristic L-shaped molecular structure. tRNAs have two regions of fundamental functional importance: the anti-codon, which is responsible for specific mRNA codon recognition, and the 3' end, to which the tRNAs corresponding amino acid is attached (by aminoacyl-tRNA synthetases). tRNAs cope with the degeneracy of the genetic code in two manners: having more than one tRNA (with a specific anti-codon) for a particular amino acid; and 'wobble' base-pairing, i.e. permitting non-standard base-pairing at the 3rd anti-codon position. NCBI's taxonomy places the organism in Eukaryota, Fungi, Ascomycota, Sordariomycetes, Sordariales. The record is from Rfam.